RNAcentral lists this ribosomal RNA (492 nucleotides) under uncultured bacterium. RNAcentral's name for it is "partial 16S ribosomal RNA". It matches the Rfam family "Bacterial small subunit ribosomal RNA", at positions 29 to 507 of the family's 1533-position model. The record is from RNAcentral.
AGUGAACGCUGGCGGUAGGCCUAACACAUGCAAGUCGAACGGCAGCACAGUAAGAGCUUGCUCUUACGGGUGGCGAGUGGCGGACGGGUGAGGAAUACAUCGGAAUCUACUUUUUCGUGGGGGAUAACGUAGGGAAACUUACGCUAAUACCGCAUACGACCUACGGGUGAAAGCAGGGGAUCUUCGGACCUUGCGCGAUUGAAUGAGCCGAUGUCGGAUUAGCUAGUUGGCGGGGUAAAGGCCCACCAAGGCGACGAUCCGUGGCUGGUCUGAGAGGAUGAUCAGCCACACUGGAACUGAGACACGGUCCAGACUCCUACGGGAGGCAGCAGUGGGGAAUAUUGGACAAUGGGCGCAAGCCUGAUCCAGCCAUACCGCGUGGGUGAAGAAGGCCUUCGGGUUGUAAAGCCCUUUUGUUGGGAAAGAAAAGCAGCAGGUUAAUACCCCGCUGUUCUGACGGUACCCAAAGAAUAAGCGCCGGCUAACUUCGUG